GGAUAUACAGCUCAAGUGGUAGAGUUCAUGCUUAGCAUGCACAAGGUCCUGGGUUCAAUCCCCAGUGUCUCCU
This 73-nucleotide transfer RNA is filed under the name Camelus bactrianus (Bactrian camel). It matches the Rfam family "tRNA". From Rfam's summary of the family: Transfer RNA (tRNA) molecules are approximately 80 nucleotides in length. Their secondary structure includes four short double-helical elements and three loops (D, anti-codon, and T loops). Further hydrogen bonds mediate the characteristic L-shaped molecular structure. tRNAs have two regions of fundamental functional importance: the anti-codon, which is responsible for specific mRNA codon recognition, and the 3' end, to which the tRNAs corresponding amino acid is attached (by aminoacyl-tRNA synthetases). tRNAs cope with the degeneracy of the genetic code in two manners: having more than one tRNA (with a specific anti-codon) for a particular amino acid; and 'wobble' base-pairing, i.e. permitting non-standard base-pairing at the 3rd anti-codon position. RNAcentral also lists the same sequence under 3 other names. The record is from Rfam by way of RNAcentral. Lineage: Eukaryota; Metazoa; Chordata; Mammalia; Artiodactyla; Camelidae.